Molecule: ribosomal RNA, 813 nt
Filed under: uncultured Spizellomyces
Lineage: Eukaryota; Fungi; Chytridiomycota
Description: eukaryotic LSU rRNA
Rfam family: 5.8S ribosomal RNA (bases 268-421)
Source: RNAcentral
CCGGUGAUGAGCGGAACCGAAAAUGCCUUGCGCUUUUCGAGGGGGACGUAGGUCUCUUGAAGCCUCCUGGUCCUGCGGACGAAAGUAGGCCCUUACGGGCAAAAACCUUUUGUGAACUGUUUCUGUCUCUGGCGGUGGGGUAGAACGCGGGCAACUGCAUCUAUCUGUCAGCUCGGGCAACCGGGCCGUGGACAAACCGCCAACCACUUGCUUGAACCUAACUUACUAUUUUAUUGUCUGACAUUCUAUUUGUAUAAAUAUACAAACAACUUUUGGCAACGGAUCUCUUGGCUCUCGCAACGAUGAAGAACGCAGCGAAAUGCGAUAAGUAGUGUGAAUUGCAGAAUUCAGUGAAUCAUCGAAUCUUUGAACGCACAUUGCGCUCCCUGGUAUUCCGGGGAGCAUGCCCGUUUCAGAAUCAUUAAAAUCUCACAAACCUGGUUUACGUUCGCGAAAACCGGGGGAAGUGGAUGUGGGUGCACUUGCAAGCCUGGCUUGCGAUGCAUCUAUAAAUGAUUGUGACGUGCGCCAAUUGUCGUGUCAACUGGUCGUCCGAAGCGCAACAGAUCCAUCUAUUCGUUUUGGUCAUCAGCUGGCUGACUUGGAGGCAUGUACUCAACUUGUCAACACGGGCCCUGCAGUUUUGCAGAGCUCGCUGAUAACUUGGUCUGAAAUCGGGCAAGAAAACCCGCUGAACUUAAGCAUAUCAAUAAGCGGAGGAAAAGAAACUAACAAGGAUUCCCCUAGUAACGGCGAGUGAAGCGGGAACAGCUCAAAUUUGAAAUCUCACAGGGCCACCUGUGCGAAUUGUAG